Long non-coding RNA from Triticum urartu, 1105 nucleotides. RefSeq lists it as uncharacterized. The record is from RefSeq and is a predicted model, not a curated record. Lineage: Eukaryota; Viridiplantae; Streptophyta; Magnoliopsida; Poales; Poaceae.
ACGGCUGCGAGCACCCGUGGUGGACGAGCUCUUGCUCAAGGGCUGAAACUUAUUCUAAAAUCACAAAACUGACGAGAGGAUAAUGUACGCAAAUAGAGUAGUAAGUUCAGAAAAAAAAAGGUUCAGAACUAAAGAUAAAAAAAGGAAAUUUUUAGUCCAACGUACAACUUUGGAUAAUGACAACGAAAUCAUUCUUUUUUAGUCAAGCACAUACAAGUUUGAUAUUACUAAUGAAAGUUCUAUUUUUUCUAUUUUUUUGGCUGUGUAUACAUCCAAAAUGUAAGGUUUCAUAUAGCUCAGCGAAAUGGUUGUUGAACUGAAGAACAAACCAGGGGAAGGUGGAGAGAACAGGGUACCCCGUCUUGGUCAACAGAGCAAAAGAAUGGUGCAAAGUGUGAACAUGAUCUACUGCCAAGAAAAAAGCAAACAAGAGAAGCACAAACACACUGUAGCACAAUUUAUGUGUUUGCUGCUACUUUUUCCCAUUUGACGGAGGAAGAUGGAGAUGGGGCUAUAAGAUGUUGACUGUCAUUGCCCUUCCAAACAUGUCGUUGGUGUCGAACCAUUCACAGUGAGGUUCAGUCCAUAGGAUGCUCGUGAUCCUUGCUCCUUCAGCUCCACUUCGUCGGUGCCGUCAGUCCGUAGGAGUAGGGGCGGCGUGCCCGUCAACAAACAAGAACAGAAAGGGAGCAAUUGGUGCCGAAUUAUGAUGCAGAGGCUGGGGGCACGCCUCCAUUUCCAAAAAACUGGUGCCGAAUGGGCCCCUGGGAGCUAGUCCAACCCACUCGCAGACUGGAGGGUAUGCCGGUUUAUUUCCAACAAAACCAUAUGUACAAUUAGUGUGCUCGUUUGAUAAGGAGACAACAUAGAAGUUAUGGUUGAAGCAAGUCCCUCCGUCCAGUUAUGUCCGAUUUUUGUGAUAGUAGUUCAAAAUGAGGGAUAUAUUGUAUAACUUUUCUGCACUUGUGCCCAGGUUGCUCCAAUGCUUUAUUGGCCUUAGUACUACUGUUUGGAGGAUACAAGAUUUUUUGUGAAAUCAAAUGGGAACCUCUCUCUUGUUGGCAGUUCUGUUACUCCUAUAUCAUUUUUUACAUAGAACUCUAUG